This 135-nucleotide microRNA precursor is filed under the name Hordeum vulgare. Its description in RNAcentral is "microRNA MIR1122". It matches the Rfam family "MIR1120/MIR1122 microRNA precursor family". The record is from RNAcentral. Lineage: Eukaryota; Viridiplantae; Streptophyta; Magnoliopsida; Poales; Poaceae.
CUUAUACUUCCUCCGUCUCACAAUUUUUGUCGUAGAUUUGUUUAGAUAUGAAUGCAUCUAGUCAAGUUUUAGUAUUUAGAUACAUUAAUUUUAGAAAAAGUUAAGACAAGAAUUUUGAGACGGAGGGAGUAUUUA